This is a long non-coding RNA of Apis florea (little honeybee), 486 nucleotides long. Lineage: Eukaryota; Metazoa; Arthropoda; Insecta; Hymenoptera; Apidae. The record is from RefSeq and is a predicted model, not a curated record.
UAUAUAUAUUAUUAUUUCAACAUUUUAAACGCAAAACAUGUAUCUAUGUACAUAGGUGCAUUAUUUGAAUAUUUAUAAGUAUGACUAACGAUUGGAAUACAGAUACAAGUGAUUUACAUGCUAAGAAGCGUUGAAGCGAUUAAACCGUAAUUGGUCGAUUGUAAUAGUUCAAUUUUAGCACGUUAUUGCCAGUUAGUGGUCACGCAUAUGCAUGCGAAGCUAUUUUCUAUUUCUAUGCACGGAACAAUGUUAAAGGUGGAGAAUGUUAAUUAAAGUAUCGAACGAGUUCAUCAUCGUGCCAGUCAUAAAUACGAGUUUACGAUCUCUCCGAGAAGAAAAGAAUUUGCAAAAGCACAAACGGUGUUUAACUCUCAUCGGGGAGCUUUGAAGACGAUGAUUAGAACCUUUACGGAUGGAAAAAUCGAAAGAAAACAAGUGAAAGUUGGUGUAAAAAUUAUGCGGUGCGCACUUGGCGGAUGACAAAAA